RNAcentral lists this transfer RNA (68 nucleotides) under Eudorcas rufifrons (Red-fronted gazelle). RNAcentral describes it as "tRNA-Phe". It matches the Rfam family "tRNA". From Rfam's summary of the family: Transfer RNA (tRNA) molecules are approximately 80 nucleotides in length. Their secondary structure includes four short double-helical elements and three loops (D, anti-codon, and T loops). Lineage: Eukaryota; Metazoa; Chordata; Mammalia; Artiodactyla; Bovidae. The record is from RNAcentral.
GUUAAUGUAGCUUAAACCUAAAGCAAGGUACUGAAAAUGCCUAGAUGAGUGUAUUAACUCCAUAAACA